GACGAACGCUGGCGGCGUGCUUAACACAUGCAAGUCGAACGGAAAGGCCCUGCUUGCAGGGUACUCGAGUGGCGAACGGGUGAGUAACACGUGGGUGAUCUGCCCUGCACUUCGGGAUAAGCCUGGGAAACUGGGUCGAAUACCGGAUAGGAGCCAUUUUUAGGGUGAUGGUUGGAAAGUUUUUUCGGUGUAGGGAGAGUUCGCGGGCUAUCAGCCUGUUGGUGGGGUAAUGGGCUACCAAGGAGGCGGCGGGUAGCCGGCCGGCGAGGGUGGACGGCCACAAUGGGACUGAGAUACGGCCCAGACUCCUACGGGGGGGAGCAGGGGGGAAUAUUGCACAAUGGGCGCGAGCCUGGUGCAGCGACGCCGCGUGGGGGAUGACGGGCUUCGGGUUGGAAACUCCUUUCGCUAGGGACGAAGCUUUUUGUGACGGUACCUGGAGAAGAAGCACCGGCUAACUACGUG
RNAcentral lists this ribosomal RNA (465 nucleotides) under uncultured bacterium. RNAcentral describes it as "partial 16S ribosomal RNA". It matches the Rfam family "Bacterial small subunit ribosomal RNA", at positions 28 to 507 of the family's 1533-position model. The record is from RNAcentral.